UCUCCCAGGCUGCUGCUUUCUGGUGAUUCCUAGGGCAAAAUGUAUCGAUAUUUGUGGUUUCAAUUGGGAGUUAAUCUGAAGAGGACGACUGCCAUCACCAUCAAUGGAGAAUCUUCUUCUACAUCCUCAUUAGCACCACCACCAGCUAAGUAUUUUUCCAGAAUACAAAAUCAAAAUUCUAGGGUUGUUACUUCCACUUUCUCUUCCUUCUCUACUACUACUAGUGAUAAAACUAAGCUUACUUCUCCUGAUUCUGAUUCUGAAUUUAUAGUUUCUUAUUUGAUUAAUUCAUGUGGAUUGUCACAAGGUAAAGCAAUUACUGUUUCUAAAAAACUCAAAUUCAAAACCACAUCUAAUCCCGAUUCAGUCUUAACUUUACUUAGAGCUCACGGAUUUACUGAAUCCCACAUUACUAAACUAGUCACUAAGUUUCCAUUCAUCCUCUCAUUCAAACCAGAUAAAACCCUAAAACCUAGAUUUGAUUUUUUCAAAUCCAAAGGGUUUUAUGGAAUUGACCUUGCCAACUUCAUCUCAAAUGACCCUACAAUCCUGAGGCGUAGUUUAAAUAGAAGCGUAAUCCCAUCAUUUGGUAUUCUUAAGAGCAUUGUUAAGUCUGAUGAAUGCGUCGUUAAAAUAAUUAAACGAAAUUGUUGGAUUCUCGGUCCAAACGAAGUUAAAAAAGUGAUUGUCAACCUAGAGCUUUUGAGAAAUGAAGGUGUCCCUGAAACUAAUAUACGUACGGGAUUAAGCUCCCAACCAAGAGUAUAUACCCAGAGUGCCAAUAGAUUUAAAGAGAUUGUAGAAAGGGUUAAAGAAAUGAGGUUCCAUCACUUACAAACCAUAUUUCUUAAGGCUAUACAUGGAUUGACAUCAAUGACCGAAGCCAAUUGGAGAAAAAAGAUGGAUGUUUACAAGAGAUGGGGUUGGUCUGAAGAUCACAUUCGUACUGCAUUUAGGAAACAUCCUCAUUGUAUGGCGGCGUCCGAGAAGAAGAUUAUGGCGGUUAUGAAUUUUCUUGUGAACGAAAUGGGUUAUAAUACGUUAAGUAUUUCUGAAGCCUCAAAAGUUUUUUGCUAUAGCUUCAAGGGUAGGAUCAACCCUAGGUGUUCUGUUGUCAAGAUUUUAGUCUCCAAGGGUCUGAUUCAGAAAGAUUUUUGUAUUAAUUCAUUCAUAACAAUUGUGGACAAGUCUUUUCUGGAAAAAUUUGUGACAAAAUAUGAGCAAGAAGUUCCUGGACUAAUGAAGGUAUUCCAAUGUCAGCUGAAUUACCAAGACCUACUUUAAAACUGAAGGAUUCAGUUAGAUGAAUACACGUUAUGAAUAUCGGAAUGCUUCGUACGUUUGAAUAAAUUGAAGAAUAUAUGUCAUGGAGUACUAGUUCCGAAGAAAGUAUAUUUUGGCACGAAGAAAAGAAGUAUCUGUGGAACUGCAUACAUGGUCCAUUAAAUAUUUUUGUAGUUCCCUAUUACUCUUGUUCCUGCAUGAGUCAGGCAGGAACGAAUCUGAGCAGCAGAUUUUUAGUAACUGUAGGUUGUUGCUGGUGAAGCCAAUAUUGAUCUCAACACUUACUUCUUUAUGAAACCUUGGUAGGCAAGAAACUAAAACGAGACAAAGCCAAUGGCUCGUUUUCCUUUAAAAAAAAUGAUACUUUUAAAGAGAUACGGUUGGUUCGAAUAUCAUAUUCGUACAACAGCUAAGAAAAAUCUCAGAUUUAUUAGCAUUUCUAAUGAGAACAUUAUGGCGAUUAUGAACAUUAUUAGCAUCGCUGAACCCCAGUAGUUUUUAAUUGCCGAAUCCCCAGUAGAAGAGGCUUAUCCCAACUUGUUCUGUUAUCAGUAUUUCGGCCUCCAGAUGUCUGAUUAAGGAAAACACUCCUAUAAGUUCACUUUCAGUAAUGGUGGACAAGUCUUUUUUAAAACAGUAUGAGCUAAAGGUUUUUGAAGGAAUGGAGGUAUUCCAUGGUCAGCUGAAUUACCAGGACCCCUUGCAGAACUGAAGGAUUUGAUGAGCCGAAUAUGCAUUUCAGGGGAGUCAGAUACUCGCAGACAAAUUAGCAAAACAAGGGUGGUUGUUUUGGCAAGAGGUGAGAUGAUUACAGAAUUUAUUUAAUUGGCAAGUUUAGAGUAACCUCAUCAACAGUACUUUAAAUUCUGGGUUUUUUUUCUUGUUCCUCUGAUUUUACCCAAUUUACAAGGGUGGUUCUUUUGUGGGUGCCCUUUUUGGGGUUCCUUCAUUCAGUCGAUUUUUGCCAAUUUGGCUGGUCUUACUUAUUAAGUAUUAACAUUAUAAAUUUGUUUUUGAGAGGUGAUUUAAUCCAGGGACAGAGUUUGGUACAAAAAAAACUUGAGUGUCAAGGACGGGAUCCUUUUGGUUACUAAGUUAAUCAUGGGACUAACCGAGCAACUCUGGUCGUUGUAGUAUAAUAGUUCGUUGGGCCGACCGACCGGAGGGCCCGAAGGGCUCGUAGAGAGGGAGUCCCUUUUAUGGCCACUUUUCUUGUAAAUUGAAAUCUA
Papaver somniferum (opium poppy) is the source of this 2513-nucleotide RNA transcript. RefSeq lists it as uncharacterized. The record is from RefSeq and is a predicted model, not a curated record. The transcript has 4 exons. NCBI's taxonomy places the organism in Eukaryota, Viridiplantae, Streptophyta, Magnoliopsida, Ranunculales, Papaveraceae.